ACUUAAGUAUAUCCCCGGGAACAUUAUAAGCUCGGCAAUCGUACAAAGUAAAUGAUGCAUUUCCUUUCAAUCGAUAGACAAAAAGUGGACGGAGGGCUUCUAUGACACAUCCAUGGCCUACUGCUGGAAGUCGAUUGGCGGUCUCCAUGUCCUGAAAUGCUAGUUCUAUAAUUAGGAAGCAACCGUAAGGACUGGACUCACAAAGACCCAUGAAGCCGUACUGGACUCACAAAGAACCAUGAAGCCAACAGUCCACGUCAACUGGAUGUUUGAGCUUCCAUUUUGUACAACUGAUGUCUCAUACUUGCAUUUUUAUCUAUCCUUUUCUGAUCAUGAUGUAUGGUGUCUUAGUGGUUAUGUUUAGAACAGACUGAAGUGUAUGUAUGUGACAAUUAGUUAAUGGAAUAAAAAAAUGUUUGGUGCA
This is a long non-coding RNA of Triticum dicoccoides, 424 nucleotides long. RefSeq lists it as uncharacterized. NCBI's taxonomy places the organism in Eukaryota, Viridiplantae, Streptophyta, Magnoliopsida, Poales, Poaceae. The record is from RefSeq and is a predicted model, not a curated record. The transcript is spliced from 2 exons.